Molecule: ribosomal RNA, 497 nt
Filed under: uncultured bacterium
Lineage: Bacteria
Description: partial 16S ribosomal RNA
Rfam family: Bacterial small subunit ribosomal RNA
Source: RNAcentral
GAUGAACGCUGGCGGCGUGCCUAAUACAUGCAAGUCGAGCGAACGGACGAGAAGCUUGCUUCUCUGAUGUUAGCGGCGGACGGGUGAGUAACACGUGGAUAACCUACCUAUAAGACUGGGAUAACUUCUGGAAACCGUAGCUAAUACCGGAUAAUAUUUUGAACCGCAUGGUUCAAAAUUGAAAGACGGUCUUGCUGUCACUUAUAGAUGGAUCCGCGCUGCAUUAGCUAGUUGGUAAGGUAACGGCUUACCAAGGCAACGAUGCAUAGCCGACCUGAGAGGGUGAUCGGCCACACUGGAACUGAGACACGGUCCAGACUCCUACGGGAGGCAGCAGUAGGGAAUCUUCCGCAAUGGGCGAAAGCCUGACAGAGAAACGCCGCGUGAGUGAUGAAGGUCUUCGGAUCGUAAAACUCUGUUAUUAGGGAAGAACAUAUGUGUAAGUAACUGUGCACAUCUUGACGGUACCUAAUCAGAAAGCCACGGCUAACUACGUG